RNAcentral lists this ribosomal RNA (350 nucleotides) under uncultured bacterium. Its description in RNAcentral is "bacterial SSU rRNA". It matches the Rfam family "Bacterial small subunit ribosomal RNA", at positions 445 to 793 of the family's 1533-position model. The record is from RNAcentral.
ACGUAUGAGAGUAACUGUUCAUACGUUGACGGUUAUUUAACAGAAAGUCACGGCUAACUACGUGCCAGCAGCCGCGGUAAUACGUAGGUGGCAAGCGUUAUCCGGAUUUAUUGGGCGUAAAGAGAGUGCAGGCGGUUUUCUAAGUCUGAUGUGAAAGCCUUCGGCUUAACCGGAGAAGUGCAUCGGAAACUGGAUAACUUGAGUGCAGAAGAGGGUAGUGGAACUCCAUGUGUAGCGGUGGAAUGCGUAGAUAUAUGGAAGAACACCAGUGGCGAAGGCGGCUACCUGGUCUGCAACUGACGCUGAGACUCGAAAGCAUGGGUAGCGAACAGGAUUAGAUACCCUGGUAG